This 444-nucleotide ribosomal RNA is filed under the name Listeria monocytogenes. RNAcentral's name for it is "partial 23S ribosomal RNA". It matches the Rfam family "Bacterial large subunit ribosomal RNA", at positions 415 to 861 of the family's 2925-position model. Lineage: Bacteria; Bacillati; Bacillota; Bacilli; Caryophanales; Listeriaceae. The record is from RNAcentral.
CGGCGGAACACGUGAAAUUCCGUCGGAAUCCGGGAGGACCAUCUCCCAAGGCUAAAUACUCCCUAGUGACCGAUAGUGAACCAGUACCGUGAGGGAAAGGUGAAAAGCACCCCGGAAGGGGAGUGAAACAGUUCCUGAAACCGUGUGCCUACAAGUAGUUAGAGCCCGUUAAUGGGUGAUAGCGUGCCUUUUGUAGAAUGAACCGGCGAGUUACGAUUUGUUGCAAGGUUAAGCGGAAAAAGCGGAGCCGUAGCGAAAGCGAGUCUGAAUAGGGCGCAUAAGUAACAGGUCGUAGACCCGAAACCAGGUGAUCUACCCAUGUCCAGGAUGAAGGUAAGGUAAUACUUACUGGAGGUCCGAACCCACGCACGUUGAAAAGUGCGGGGAUGAGGUGUGGGUAGCGGAGAAAUUCCAAUCGAACUUGGAGAUAGCUGGUUCUCUCCG